Non-coding RNA from Chlorocebus sabaeus (green monkey), 1148 nucleotides. The record is from RefSeq and is a predicted model, not a curated record. Lineage: Eukaryota; Metazoa; Chordata; Mammalia; Primates; Cercopithecidae.
UCUCCUUCCUUCCACUUGAGGAAAGGAGAAGGAAGAGUGGGGAGAACUUGUCUUGCGGGUUGGAUACCAUUUCAGCCACAGCAGUAUAGGGCACUAGUCAGUCAUUAAGCUGUCAUUCUAGGCCUUAACUCCCAGACAACAUCUCUAGAAUAACCCUGAACCAGAAGGGAACCUGCUGCCUUGAAGAAAAGACCCAGUUUUUUCAACAUUCAUCACCUGCUAACCGAAGAGCCCUUGGGCCCUGAAUAACCAACAGUGAAACCCAGCUACUACAUCGUGGUCCUUGGGUACCAAUACUGGUAUAGGUGGGUAGAGCACCAAGCAGGCUCUUGGGGUUCGCAAUUCCAGACUUGACACUUGGACAGCACAUCUGGACCUGCCUUGGGUCAGAGGGGAACCCACUGCCCUGAAAGGAUGAAGGUCACAUCCAUAUUAAUUGCCCUGAUAAUGAAACCUUCCUGGAGGCCACCUGUCAGAACAUCUGGAGCUCUUGUUGUUACUGCUUCCAACAAGGCACCAUUUCCAUCCCUACGCUGACUUCAAAGACCCAUCUUCAAGGUUGAUGCAAACUAUUGAGAACUUCUUUUUAAGACAUUGGAGAAAAGUGUUGAAGAUGAAUCUACUGACAGUCCAAAUGCUCACCGAGGUCACCUUUUUCAUAAUCAAUAUUUGAAGAGUCUGCUCUAUCAACAAUUUAAUCUAAGUAAAUGAAUCCUGCUAGUGAAUUAAUGUGAUUUUAACUGGGAUUCACUCAUUUUCAAUAAUGUUGCAGCCUUUGUUGUCUAAUAACUUAAUGUCUCAAAUUAUGAGAAUUUCAAACUUUGGCAGGCCAGCAGGUGUUUGGGGGGGGACAUCUCAUUUCAUUUAUGUCAAAGUUAGAAAAUGAAUCUAAAUAUGCCAGCCCGGUUAUUUCCUGUGGGUUUAAUAGAAUCUUAAGCAUUAUGUUUUCUGCAAUGUAAAGGGUAAGAAUAAUUGUUAACCAUUCUUGCUUCUCCUGUUCUUUAAAAAAAUUCAAAUACUGUUCAUACUCCCUGAUGAUUAAAUGUUUAAUAUGUUUCUAUCUUCUUCUAUCUCCCAAUUAUGACCUCCUUGGAGAUUUUGUCACUGUGCUUAACUUAUAGAUGCUUAAUAAACGUUUGAUGAAUAAA